GCAAAGAAGGCAGGGCUGCUGGGGCUGCUCAAGAAGAGAGCCAGCAGCCUCCUAUAGCACCACUACAGGCACUGAGAGGACAUAACAUCAGAGAGCGGCUCCUCUGCCCUCCAAAACAACAACUUUCCUACCAUCUUGGAGGCUCGUGGCUGAAGAAUUUUUUUUUUUUUUUAAUAAUCUGUAAAUAUCAACUCCCUGGGAAAAAAAUUAAAAGAGUCUUAGUAAACAGCUGAGAUUGAUGUCGGAUAGUUUGAUGUAACUGUACCGUAACAUCUUUCUCCCUCUCAAGGCAUUGUAAAUAAAAUUGGAUCUACAGGUACAUCCACAUUUCGAAACAUACUUUGAGUUUGCCCAGCCUGCAUGGAAGAGAGGCACACCAUGAACAACUAAUCUAUGCUGCAUCUCUCUGUGCUACUCUUAAGAAUAUCUGUACAGCACUCUUAGUAUCUUGGAACUGUAUUUUUUAAAUGGGAUGCAGAUAAUUCAACAUUUUAGAGAAAUGGCUGUGAAUUCACUUGAGAAGCUGAGCACAGAAACAAUAUUAAACCUUUUCUUGGGCUUAUGUGUUUGUCUUUGCAGAUACUGACUUUAAUCAGAUUACUUGCCUGCCUAAAUUUAACCAUGCGUCGUGGUAGCAUUACACAUUUUGGUGACAUCCUAAGAUCUAUUAAUUCAGUCUUUUUAAGGAGGAGAAAGAAAAGAGGAAAAAUUUGCCAGAUAUUGGUUGUGUGGACUAUUGUGUAAUCAUUCAACAGAGAAAUUAAAAAUUUGUGCUUCGUGGAUAGAUAAAUUUAUUUAACAAAACUUUAUUUAACUGAGAGUAAUUUGCUUUUUGCUAACUUACUAAGAGAUGCAAAUAUUAUUUUAACUGUUUUGAGGACAAAUUGGACUCUGAAACUUCUGAAGGACAGUGUGUAAACCCAAAGCACGAAAGUCCCCUGUACAACAUUCAGAAUUGUAUUCUGGAACUUGCAUUCUUCAGAAUGGGUCUGCCUGCCUUGAUUUAAAUCCGCCUCAUCCCUCGACCAACUACUCGAUCCACUAAACUUAUUGUACACUUGAGCACAGAGUGGUCAGAGAACAUUAAUGUUCUGUAAAUCACAGGUUCUGGCUAAUGAGGCAUUCUGUGCUGAUGUGUCUCACCUGUGUUAGUAGUGAGACAGGGCAGUGAUGCAGUGAAUAAGCUUUGUGAGUCCAAUAAGGCAAUGAAAUAGGUGCUUUAGGUUGUACACCAGUUAGUUACUGGAGGAGGCUGCAUCAAGAAAUGAACCUUGACUCUCUCCCAAGGUCGUACGCACCCCGAGUGCAGACCUCAAGAAUUUCUGGAGCAUGUCUUAGACUCUGUGCAUGUGAUGAGGACUCUUGGGUUCUCCACAAAUAGUGUUACAAUGUCGGCAUCUUGGUAUUAUUUCUUGAAAGACACAUACUGAGAGAACAGUUCCAAUGUCUUCAAAUGCUUGCUAAAGGGAUUAGCAAUUUAUUUAAAAUGCAGGUGUAUGUUGUGAAGGGGAAGAACAACUCUGAGUGUAUAGCUGUUAAUUCAAGAUGUUCUUAUCUGAAGAGCCACAUUUGUAUAGAAGAUCUUGUCUUUAGGCAUUUAAAGACUGAAAAGGAUGAGAAAUUAAAUAAAAUCCAAAGUUAUGAUAGAUUCUUCUAAGCAAUGUCUUGAGCAGCUGUGAUGUGGUAUUAGUUUGUGUAAUAGUGGCAAGUUCUGGAGUAAAGCUAACCAUUAAAUCUCAGCAUAUUAGCAUUUUUGAAAAAAUGUUUAUUCUUAUUUCUCAACAGUUCUUUAACAUGAAAAUUUUAUAGCAACCAACUGCGUAUCUGGGUUUCAGUUACCCUGCUGCAGUUGUAUGUAUUUGAUAAGCAGCAUGCUUUUUGCCACUUUUCCAAACCACAGAGUCCUUACGUUAAAAACACUGUCCAUGAUCUGAGGAUUUUUCUCUAGGAAAUGUACCUAAGUUAUGGCAUAAAUUGAGCUUCUUAAACCAGCGGCUAAACUCCUUCAUACCCGUGCUUUAGUGCACUCCUGUGUGGCAGAUAGCACAGCUGAAACUAUAGGACAUGCCCUAUAUACAGCAGAGUAACUUUGCUUUACUUUGUUUAAAGCCCUAAAUGCUAGCAAAGCAACACAACAUACCCAAGACUAGCCUCGUUUUCCUGAGUGUUAGGGGCUUCAUUAAAGCUUUUUUCAGCAAUGGGAAUUUUGCUGUGGGUUUCAGUAAGAGUAUAGCUGCAGAAGUAUUUAACCAGUUGGGAACAGAUGUAUGCGCUAUUACAUGAUAAUAUAAUUAAUUGAUAGUGAACUGUACUGAAAAUAGUAAUUAACUAAGACUUCACUAAUCUGUUCUUCAUUAUCAAUGUGUAUUUUAAUCUGCAUUAAAUAAAUGAUAUUGUCUUCCUAAAGCUCAGCAAAGACAAAACAGUAAGACUGUUAAUUGUGGGAAGGUUGUCCAGAGUACGUUGGGCAUCUGUGGAGACCUCUUUAAAUAGAGGACAAAUUAAUGCAAUAAGCUGUCCCAGCAGAAUGCUCUAAUACCAUCCCGUUUUACUGGGAAGCCCUCUGUUAAUUCAAAGUAUACUAUUUUAUUUUUACUGUCUGCUUCUGUCUAUUGAUAUUUCAUUAACUGUAAUUGUAGUGGUUAAGCAGCUCCACACUUUAUCACCAGUCCUCUCUGCCAUUAGUCCAGUUAUUCAUUUAUAUUCAGGUUGCAGAGGGUCUUGGUCACCACUGCAGGAUGGAAAGAUGAGAAUUCCCACUCUGGACCAAAUCAACAGUCCCUUAAGUCUUCUGAGAGCAGCUUCCAACAAAGGUGUGGAAUAUCCUGUGAUGGAUAAUUGAGAAGUAAAGGGCAUGCAGGACAGGAUUUUUCUAAAAUAGUUGGAGCUGAUCUAACAUCAAAGCCUAAAGCUUAAUUAGUGUCUAGGGUCAUGGGAUUCCAGUGGAUUUUGAAAGUUUUUUGUUACACAUGAAGUGUUUUGCUCUUAGUAUGUUUCUUUUUGAUACAUGGUUCUCAUCUCUGCUCCGUUUCAAACAUAAAACAUAGAUGUACAGAUGAUGACAAGAAGAAAUAAAACUAUUUAUUGGAAAUAUUAGUUAAUUAUAUUCAAAAUUCAGCAUUGGCUGAGUGAGGAGAUGUCUCUACUACCUCUUAUGCCUCUAAAUCUCAGUAGGCUUCUCAGCAUUAGGCACUGUGAAUAGAUGUGUACAUAUAGCUGGAGGAAAACAUAAUUAUUAACAAUGUUUAGCAUAGCAGGCUUUGCUGAUUAUGGAAUCACUAAUUUUGUUUGAAUUCCAAGACUUUAUAUAGGUUAUUUAUGUCUCUCUGGGCCAUCUUUCUGUGGUCCUGAGCUAUGGAGAGUUGGAAUAACCUGGGUACUUUUGGACACUUCGCUGACAUCAUUCCAUCAACUAAUAUGUGUUACUGGCAUUUUAUGGAAAAUAAUAAUCUGUUAACAUCUAUUAAAAAAUUGAAAAUAU
Pyrgilauda ruficollis (rufous-necked snowfinch) is the source of this 3481-nucleotide long non-coding RNA. RefSeq lists it as uncharacterized. Lineage: Eukaryota; Metazoa; Chordata; Aves; Passeriformes; Passeridae. The transcript is spliced from 5 exons. The record is from RefSeq and is a predicted model, not a curated record.